UAGAUCCUCAAAUUAUGCAAA
RNAcentral lists this non-coding RNA (21 nucleotides) under Caenorhabditis elegans. The record is from RNAcentral. Lineage: Eukaryota; Metazoa; Nematoda; Chromadorea; Rhabditida; Rhabditidae.